GAUGAACGCUGGCGGCGUGCCUAAUACAUGCAAGUCGAGCGAACGGACGAGAAGCUUGCUUCUCUGAUGUUAGCGGCGGACGGGUGAGUAACACGUGGAUAACCUACCUAUAAGACUGGGAUAACUUCGGGAAACCGGGGCUAAUACCGGAUGAUAUUUUGAACCGCAUGGUUCAAAAGUGAAAGACGGUCUUGCUGUCACUUAUAGAUGGAUCCGCGCUGCAUUAGCUAGUUGGUAAGGUAACGGCUUACCAAGGCAACGAUGCAUAGCCGACCUGAGAGGGUGAUCGGCCACACUGGAACUGAGACACGGUCCAGACUCCUACGGGAGGCAGCAGUAGGGAAUCUUCCGCAAUGGUCGAAAGCCUGACGGAGCAACGCCGCGUGAGUGAUGAAGGUCUUCGGAUCGUAAAACUCUGUUAUUAGGGAAGAACAUAUGUGUAAGUAACUGUGCACAUCUUGACGGUACCUAAUCAGAAAGCCACGGCUAACUACGUG
RNAcentral lists this ribosomal RNA (497 nucleotides) under uncultured bacterium. Its description in RNAcentral is "partial 16S ribosomal RNA". It matches the Rfam family "Bacterial small subunit ribosomal RNA", at positions 28 to 507 of the family's 1533-position model. The record is from RNAcentral.